This 434-nucleotide ribosomal RNA is filed under the name uncultured bacterium. RNAcentral describes it as "partial 16S ribosomal RNA". It matches the Rfam family "Bacterial small subunit ribosomal RNA", at positions 29 to 507 of the family's 1533-position model. The record is from RNAcentral.
AGCGAACGCUGGCGGCAGGCCUAACACAUGCAAGUCGAACGAACCUUUCGGGGUUAGUGGCGGACGGGUGAGUAACAUGUGGGAACGUGCCUUUAGGUUCGGAAUAACUCAGGGAAACUUGUGCUAAUACCGAAUGUGCCCUUCGGGGGAAAGAUUUAUCGCCUUUAGAGCGGCCCGCGUCUGAUUAGCUAGUUGGUUGAGGUAAUGGCUCACCAAGGCGACGAUCAGUAGCUGGUCUGAGAGGAUGAUCAGCCACAUUGGGACUGAGACACGGCCCAAACUCCUACGGGAGGCAGCAGUGGGGAAUCUUGCGCAAUGGGCGAAAGCCUGACGCAGCCAUGCCGCGUGAAUGAUGAAGGUCUUAGGAUUGUAAAAUUCUUUCACCGGGGACGAUAAUGACGGUACCCGGAGAAGAAGCCCCGGCUAACUUCGUG